GAUGAAGAACGCAGCGAAAUGCGAUAAGUAAUGUGAAUUGCAGAAUUCCGUGAAUCAUCGAAUCUUUGAACGCACAUUGCGCCCCCUGGCAUUCCGGGGGCAUGCCUGUCCGAGCGUCAUUUCUGCCCUCAAGCACGGCUUGUGUGUUGGGUGUGGUCCCCCCGGGGACCUGCCUGAAAGGCAGUGGCGACGCCCGCCUAGGUCCUCGAGCGUAUGGGGCUUUGUCACUCGCUCGGGAAGGAUCUACGGGCGUUGGUCUUCCACCAUAUUUUUUUUACGGUUGACCUCGGAUCAGGUAGGAGUUACCCGCUGAACUUAAGCAUAUCAAUAAGCGGAGGA
This 339-nucleotide unclassified non-coding RNA is filed under the name soil metagenome. RNAcentral's name for it is "partial contains 5.8S ribosomal RNA, internal transcribed spacer 2, and large subunit ribosomal RNA". The stretch from base 1 to 119 matches the Rfam family "5.8S ribosomal RNA", at positions 35 to 154 of the family's 154-position model. The record is from RNAcentral.